Molecule: ribosomal RNA, 1129 nt
Filed under: Vibrio sp.
Lineage: Bacteria; Pseudomonadati; Pseudomonadota; Gammaproteobacteria; Vibrionales; Vibrionaceae
Description: bacterial SSU rRNA
Source: RNAcentral
AAAAGAGGGGGACCYUUCGGGCCUCUCGCGUCAGGKUAUGCCUAGGUGGGAUUAGCUAGUUGGUGAGGUAAGGGCUCACCAAGGCGACGAUCCCUAGCUGGUYUGAGAGGAUGAUCAGCCACACUGGAAACUGAGACACGGUCCAGACUCCUACGGGAGGCAGCAGUGGGGAAUAUUGCACAAUGGGCGCAAGCCUGAUGCAGCCAUGCCGCGUGUGUGAAGAAGGCCUUCGGGUUGUAAAGCACUUUCAGUCGUGAGGAAGGUAGUGUAGUUAAUAGCUGCAUUAUUUGACGUUAGCGACAGAAGAAGCACCGGCUAACUCCGUGCCAGCAGCCGCGGUAAUACGGAGGGUGCGAGCGUUAAUCGGAAUUACUGGGCGUAAAGCGCAUGCAGGUGGUUUGUUAAGUCAGAUGUGAAAGCCCGGGGCUCAACCUCGGAAUAGCAUUUGAAACUGGCAGACUAGAGUACUGUAGAGGGGGGUAGAAUUUCAGGUGUAGCGGUGAAAUGCGUAGAGAUCUGAAGGAAUACCGGUGGCGAAGGCGGCCCCCUGGACAGAUACUGACACUCAGAUGCGAAAGCGUGGGGAGCAAACAGGAUUAGAUACCCUGGUAGUCCACGCCGUAAACGAUGUYUACUUGGAGGUUGUGGCCUUGAGCCGUGGCUUUCGGAGCUAACGCGUUAAGUAGACCGCCUGGGGAGUACGGUCGCAAGAUUAAAACUCAAAUGAAUUGACGGGGGCCCGCACAAGCGGUGGAGCAUGUGGUUUAAUUCGAUGCAACGCGAAGAACCUUACCUACUCUUGACAUCCAGAGAACUUUUCAGAGAUGGAUUGGUGCCUUCGGGAACUCUGAGACAGGUGCUGCAUGGCUGUCGUCAGCUCGUGUUGUGAAAUGUUGGGUUAAGUCCCGCAACGAGCGCAACCCUUAUCCUUGUUUGCCAGCGAGUAAUGUCGGGAACUCCAGGGAGACUGCCGGUGAUAAACCGGAGGAAGGUGGGGACGACGUCAAGUCAUCAUGGCCCUUACGAGUAGGGCUACACACGUGCUACAAUGGCGCAUACAGAGGGCAGCCAACUUGCGAAAGUGAGCGAAUCCCAAAAAGUGCGUCGUAGUCCGGAUUGGAGUCUGCAA